AUUACCCAAUCCUGACACAGGGAGGUAGUGACAAGAAAUAACAAUACAGGGCAAUUGUCUUGUAAUUGGAAUGAUGGUGACCUAAACCCUCACCAGAGUAACAAUUGGAGGGCAAGUCUGGUGCCAGCAGCCGCGGUAAUUCCAGCUCCAAUAGCGUAUAUUAAACUUGUUGCAGUUAAAAAGCUCGUAGUUGAAUUUUUGCGUGGUGUUAAUAUUGACUGAUGUCGAGAUUGCACUUCGCUUUUGGGAUUUUUCCCUUUUUACUUUGAGAAAAUUAGAGUGUUUCAAGCAGACUUUUGUCUUGAAUACUUCAGCAUGGAAUAAUAGAGUAGGACUUUGGUUCUAUUUUGUUGGUUUGUGAACCUUAGUAAUGGUUAAUAGGAACGGUUGGGGGCAUUCGUAUUUAACUGUCAGAGGUGAAAUUCUUAGAUUUGUUAAAGACGAACUACUGCGAAAGCAUUUGCCAAGGACGUUUUCAUUAAUCAAGAACGAAAGUUAGGGGAUCGAAGACGAUCAGAUACCGUCGUAGUCCUAACCAUAAACUAUGCCGACUAGGGAUUGGAGGUC
Molecule: ribosomal RNA, 567 nt
Filed under: Babesia capreoli
Lineage: Eukaryota; Apicomplexa; Aconoidasida; Piroplasmida; Babesiidae
Description: SSU rRNA
Rfam family: Eukaryotic small subunit ribosomal RNA
Source: RNAcentral